AACAUACCCGGUUUAUUUAUUCAGAGCAAAACAAAAGGAGAAAACCAACCUCCCUCUAGAUCGCCUUACCCAAUAUGACAUCAGACAAAACUUUCUCUCUCUCUCUAAGUGUAAUACUCAUACAUGAUAUAUAAUCACAAAGCAUAAUCACCCUAAACUUACAAAAGACACAAGCCAUACUCAACUUUGUGGUCCAUUUUCCAAGUGAAAAACAAAUGAGCUCUGAUCCGAUGCACCAGACCCGAUGCAUUUUGACUCCUACUCCUCGUUGACUCUCCCCAUUUUCAGAGCUCAGACACCCAGAUCCAAACAGAAACAGUACCUUCUUUGGUUCUUCUUUGCUUACUUCUUAGGCUCUGAUAAGCUACUCAGAAGGUUCCCCUCCCAUGCAUCAUCUCUUAGUGAUCAUGAUCAUCAUGAAACAGAUCAUGGGUACAUUGAGAAAAGAGUUAUUAAUGGGUUGUUUCUCUCUCCUACUCUUGGUGAUGAUAAUGAUUUUAGUGUUUGAGAAUUCAUCAACUUCUGCUGAUGGGUAUGCCAAAUUUGAAAGCUUCAAAGAAGGGUCUGCCUCAGAAUAUGAUACUAGUCCUCUUCAAUCCAAUACACCAGGGUUAACUGUUGGAGGAAACAAACAUGGAGAUAACACUGAUUCUACUCUUGUUGAUGAAAAGAGAAGAAUUCACACUGGUCCUAAUCCUUUGCAUAAUAGAUAAGUUUUUUUUACUUUCUAUAAUAUAUAAAUAACAACGAUGAUUUCUCUUCA
Molecule: long non-coding RNA, 763 nt
Organism: Humulus lupulus (European hop)
Lineage: Eukaryota; Viridiplantae; Streptophyta; Magnoliopsida; Rosales; Cannabaceae
Exons: 2
Source: RefSeq, a predicted model, not a curated record